GGGAAGAAGAAAGCCUCAAUAUCCACACUGUAGGCCAGCAAGCCUCUGCUGCAUAUCAAAAGGAUAUAGAGACAUCAGCUCAGCAGAGGCCGAGGGCCACUCACUUGCUGGCAGGAUAAUGGAGCUGGCUUGGAAGACUGUCCUUAGCAAGCUAAGCAGGGUUUGGUGAAAAUGGUGGCGGUUUCCACAGCUCAUCCAGGGUUAUAAUGCCUGCCCUCCAAGAAGAUUCAGGCAGACCUUCUUGCUUGAUUGCUCCUCAGGGAAGCUGAAGGCUAUUGCUACACCGAGUGCUAUUAAACCUCUUAGCAGUGGUUGCAGGGAGGGGGAAAGACUUCUUUUUUCAGAGUAUGGGUGCUUUUCUUGCCCAGAGGGAAACUGAGUCUGGGGAUGAGAAGGCAGAAAAUGGUUCCCAGGCAUAAUGCCUGAUAAGGUCUUUCUCCGAACAUGAAGUGAUCAGCUGUCUGAAGCAAAGGUUACUGCAGAAGUGUUAGUUUAAAGCAGUUCAGCACAACCACAAUAAAUGUAAUGCUACCAGUGUGUGGGAAGAGCUUGGAAUAAACCUAAGACUGCUGCUCUCAGAAAGGAAAGCUUUCAAAAUGUGGCCACAGUCAUUUUAAGGCAGAGCAACACAGUUUUGGAUGAGGUAGAUAUUCGUGCUGGCAGAUGCUACUUGAAAGUGUCAUUGUCUGGUUCUGUGUCCGGGUAAGGCAGUGGCAGAGGUUGCUGGUUUCUGGCAGGUUAGCUUUCUUCUGAGAGGUUCUCACAGAACAGCGAGUUACACUUCUCUUUCCUCUUCUCUCUAGCUUUGGAGAAAAUGCGGAGUCAAGCCAUUUGGGGCCUGCAGAAUGUUAGCCCUGAGGUAAAUGGCCUUCUGGAAAAAUUUGAAGUGACUUCUCCGAAGUACAGCAAGAAGAUGCAAAGAUAUCAGUAAAUACUAACUCCUCUAGUAGCAGAGAAGACCAGGCCUUUAAAGAGAUGAGGUGGCUGGAGCAUGCUGGGAGGACAUGGGGAGGAGUGAAGCAGUGGAGGCAGCAGUGAAGAGCAGUAGAGGAGCUGAGUGCCUGGAGA
This is a long non-coding RNA of Rhea pennata, 1068 nucleotides long. RefSeq lists it as uncharacterized. NCBI's taxonomy places the organism in Eukaryota, Metazoa, Chordata, Aves, Rheiformes, Rheidae. The record is from RefSeq and is a predicted model, not a curated record. The transcript has 4 exons.